Cyprinus carpio carpio is the source of this 1227-nucleotide long non-coding RNA. The record is from Ensembl. NCBI's taxonomy places the organism in Eukaryota, Metazoa, Chordata, Actinopteri, Cypriniformes, Cyprinidae.
AUGCUGAAAUUUUAUGUCGCACAUAUAGUAGACACACACACACACACACACACACACACACACACACACACACACAGAUUUUACCCUCCUGUGGCUCCAUUGACUCAUGGCAUAUUAAUGUCUCAUGGAGUUGGUAUAAUAAGUAAAAAGCAGUGUUGUCACCUACCUCUGUUUCUGCUGACACGUUCCUUCUACUCACAGACAUGGAGGAUGGUGUCAUGUCAGAGGAGCUUGAUGAUUGGUGAGGACAGAAAGGGUCUUUCAGCAAGUUUAGUCAGUGUUUGCCCCUGAAAAAAAUAAAGUCAUUUGCAUCUCAGGUUCAGAAUUAAAUCUCCUUUGAGGUAAUUGCAUGAAUGAAUGCAUUAGUAGAUGAACGAUGGAAUGAAUGAGAAAUACCAGUUAUAUUCUCUUAGGUGUGAGAAAAUUAUUGCUAAUAGUUUUAUAUUCCAUAAAUAAAUGGAUAAAUGUCUGCUGGAACAGAAUGAAAUGGAACACUUUUUUUCAGAAAUUAUGUCAUGUUGAAUUAAAUACAGCAGACUUCAAACAAAGCAUAUUUAUUAAAUCCUGUCAAUCACACCACCAUGGUAAAUAAAUAACCACUUGCCUCAGCCUUCUGACAAUUCUUCCUUCUUCCUCCACAGAUUCAGCUUCAUUUCUAUUACAGGUAACACUUUACAAUACUGUUCCUUGCUUAAUGAAUACCUACACAGGAACAAACAAGCAAUGUUUCACAGCAUAAAAAUAUUAACAUUUUGCUAUUAACCAACAAGACACUCUGAUAUACACAUUUAUUAAUUAAUAGCACUCAGUUGAAUGUGCUAGUUCACUAUUAUUUUUCAUACCUCUCAGAGAAAGUCACUGGGCUACCAUAAUUCUAACAAUACUUAUCAAUGAAAACCUAAUCGUAAUGUACAGAAUCUUCUAACCAUUCAUAAACUCCAUUACCACAUUCAAAUAAGUGCAUCAAGUUAAUCAGAGUUUCUUGUUAGUUAACAGUAGUUAUUAAAAUAGUAGUUAAUAUUGUGUUACUCAUUUGUUUCUGUGUAGUUAUUCAUUAAUGACAAAAGUGUUACCUUAUGUAUUUAAUCACAUGAUGAAUCAAAUUUCCUUUGAUAAAUCCUUUUGAAAAAUAAUACAAUUAAUUUAACUAAGAAAAAAAAGAUUUUCAGAACUCAAUAUAAUAUAUAUAUAUAUAUAUAUAUAUAUUUUUUUUUUUUUUGAAAAUAU